RNAcentral lists this transfer RNA (58 nucleotides) under Apaloderma vittatum (bar-tailed trogon). It matches the Rfam family "tRNA", at positions 8 to 63 of the family's 71-position model. Rfam says of the family: Transfer RNA (tRNA) molecules are approximately 80 nucleotides in length. Their secondary structure includes four short double-helical elements and three loops (D, anti-codon, and T loops). The record is from Rfam by way of RNAcentral. Lineage: Eukaryota; Metazoa; Chordata; Aves; Trogoniformes; Trogonidae.
UAGCUCAGUCGGUUGAGUGUGGUGCUGAUAACACCAAGGUCGCGGGUUCGAUCCCCAU